Molecule: non-coding RNA, 807 nt
Organism: Peromyscus maniculatus bairdii (prairie deer mouse)
Lineage: Eukaryota; Metazoa; Chordata; Mammalia; Rodentia; Cricetidae
Source: RefSeq, a predicted model, not a curated record
GAUACAAAUAUGAUUAAGGCUUAAGCAACUCAGAUGAAUGAAACACUAGAGAUCAUUUGUGGAGAAAUUUACUUCCAUUUCAAUUACAUUUCCGACUCGUUAAAAUAGAUGAACGAAGCAGCCGGUGUGCGCCCAGCCGGUAACAGAAUUUGAUAAUACUCUUUAUCAAAUCAAGAUACACUCCUUAAGUAUAGACAAGUCUGCUGGCAGCGCCCACUGCGGGCAUAAAGAAUGAAUGAUUCAGAACGAUGCAUGUUUAUAGAUGAAGACUCCAGUUGUGGAAACAGCAUCAAAUGCUCCAGGUGUUUGAAGACAUCACACCUCGUCCCUGCCACAAAGUGAGGCUCAAGCCACCACCUGAACUUCCACACCAAGGACUUCAGCUGAAAGACUCUGUAACAAUCUGGAGAAUGGCUGUCAUUCUGUGGGCUUUGUAAUUCUCUUUUUACAUGUAAGGCUUUCUUCUGGCUAGUACAAUCUAUGCUGCACUGAAAAAGGUCAAAACAAUCUGAAAAACACCGUGGGCAAGUAAGGCCCUCAGAAGAGGACGAACUACAACCGGUAAACCAAGUCUUGGUGCGUACACGGAGGUCAGAGGACAGACAAGCUCCAGAAGUUAGUUCCCUUCCCACCAUGUGGUUCCAGGGCCUGGACUCAGGUCACCUGGCGAGGUGGCGAGCACCAGCUUGAUGGCCUGAAACGCUACUUUUUAACAAGACCGAAUAAAAGUGUGGUUUGGGGAAACAAUUUUCAUCUUCGUUGCGUGAGAGAUUAAGAGCACAAUAAAUUAAAAGCCGUAUGCUAAAC